RNAcentral lists this ribosomal RNA (253 nucleotides) under uncultured bacterium. RNAcentral describes it as "partial 16S ribosomal RNA". It matches the Rfam family "Bacterial small subunit ribosomal RNA", at positions 524 to 776 of the family's 1533-position model. The record is from RNAcentral.
UACGGGGGGUGCAAGCGUUGUUCGGAAUUAUUGGGCGUAAAGCGCGUGUAGGCGGUUUGAUUAGUCUGAUGUGAAAGCCCUGGGCUCAACCCAGGAAGUGCAUUGGAUACUGUCAGAUUUGAAUACGGGAGAGGGUAGUGGAAUUCCUAGUGUAGGAGUGAAAUCCGUAGAUAUUAGGAGGAACACCGGUGGCGAAGGCGGCUACCUGGACCGAUAUUGACGCUGAGAUGCGAAAGCGUGGGUAGCAAACAGG